AGUGAACGCUGGCGGCAGGCCUAACACAUGCAAGUCGGACGGCAGCACAAGAGAGCUUGCUCUCUGGGUGGCGAGUGGCGGACGGGUGAGGAAUGCAUCGGAAUCUGCCCAUUUGUGGGGGAUAACCUCGGGAAACCGGGACUAAUACCGCAUACGACCUACGGGUGAAAGCAGGGGAUCUUCGGACCUUGCGCAGAUGGAUGAGCCGAUGCCGGAUUAGCUAGUUGGAGGGGUAAAGGCCCACCAAGGCGACGAUCCGUAGCUGGUCUGAGAGGAUGAUCAGCCACACUGGGACUGAGACACGGCCCAGACUCCUAAGGGAGGCAGCAGUGGGGAAUAUUGGACAAUGGGCGCAAGCCUGAUCCAGCCAUGCCGCGUGUGUGAAGAAGGCCUUCGGGUUGUAAAGCACUUUUGUUGGGAAAGAAAAGCAGCCGGUUAAUACCCGGUUGUCAUGACGGUACCCAAAGAAUAAGCACCGGCUAACUUCGUG
Molecule: ribosomal RNA, 490 nt
Filed under: uncultured bacterium
Lineage: Bacteria
Description: partial 16S ribosomal RNA
Rfam family: Bacterial small subunit ribosomal RNA
Source: RNAcentral